This 217-nucleotide ribosomal RNA is filed under the name uncultured bacterium. RNAcentral describes it as "partial 16S ribosomal RNA". It matches the Rfam family "Bacterial small subunit ribosomal RNA", at positions 1276 to 1500 of the family's 1533-position model. The record is from RNAcentral.
CGAAAACCUGUCCCAGUUCGGACUGGAGUCUGCAACCCGACUCCACGAAGUUGGAUUCGCUAGUAAUCGCGCAUCAGCCAUGGCGCGGUGAAUACGUUCCCGGGCCUUGUACACACCGCCCGUCAAGCCAUGGGAGCCGGGGGCGCCUGAAGUCCGGGACCGCGAGGACCGGCCUAGGGCGAAACUGGUAACUGGGGCUAAGUCGUAACAAGGUAUC